RNAcentral lists this unclassified non-coding RNA (408 nucleotides) under uncultured Glomeromycotina. Its description in RNAcentral is "sequence contains 28S rRNA gene". Lineage: Eukaryota; Fungi; Glomeromycota. The record is from RNAcentral.
AAAGUCAAAUAGACGUGAAAUUGUUGAAAGGGAAACGAUUAAAGUCAGUCGUACCGGCGGUAAUCAGCCAUUUGGGUGCGAUUACGUCGGGUGAUGAGGAGCUUAACCGCCUUCACGCUUGCGUAUUUGUGCCCUAUCGGUGUAUUUAUUCGCAUGGUAGGUUAACAUCAAUUUCGGUCGUUAUAAAAUGAUGGGAGGAAUGUAGCUUCAAUCCCGUAUUGAAGUGUUAUAGCCUCUGGUAGAUGUGAUGACUGGGAUUGAGGAUUGCAACGAACCCUUUGGGCUACCUGUCUGGCUUCUGGUGGUCGCUCUGGUGCCGAAAGCUUGCUUAUGGUUAUCGAAGUUGGUUGCCAAAAGGUUAGAACGGGUUAAUUUUGUUAAGGAUGUUGACGUAAUGGCUUUAAACGA